RNAcentral lists this transfer-messenger RNA (363 nucleotides) under Salmonella enterica. Its description in RNAcentral is "Standard tmRNA". It matches the Rfam family "transfer-messenger RNA". Rfam says of the family: Bacterial tmRNA, also known as 10Sa RNA or SsrA, is named for its dual tRNA and mRNA-like properties. The record is from RNAcentral. RNAcentral also lists the same sequence under 1 other name. Lineage: Bacteria; Pseudomonadati; Pseudomonadota; Gammaproteobacteria; Enterobacterales; Enterobacteriaceae.
GGGGCUGAUUCUGGAUUCGACGGGAUUUGCGAAACCCAAGGUGCAUGCCGAGGGGCGGUUGGCCUCGUAAAAAGCCGCAAAAAAAUAGUCGCAAACGACGAAAACUACGCUUUAGCAGCUUAAUAACCUGCUUAGAGCCCUCUCUCCCUAGCCUCCGCUCUUAGGACGGGGAUCAAGAGAGGUCAAACCCAAAAGAGAUCGCGCGGAUGCCCUGCCUGGGGUUGAAGCGUUAAAACGAAUCAGGAUAGUCUGGUAGUGGCGUGUCCGUCCGCAGGUGCCAGGCGAAUGUAAAGACUGACUAAGCAUGUAGUACCGAGGAUGUAGGAAUUUCGGACGCGGGUUCAACUCCCGCCAGCUCCACCA